RNAcentral lists this ribosomal RNA (496 nucleotides) under uncultured bacterium. RNAcentral describes it as "partial 16S ribosomal RNA". It matches the Rfam family "Bacterial small subunit ribosomal RNA", at positions 29 to 507 of the family's 1533-position model. The record is from RNAcentral.
AUGAACGCUGGCGGCGUGCCUAAUACAUGCAAGUCGAGCGAACAGGCGAGGAGCUUGCUCCUCUGACGUUAGCGGCGGACGGGUGAGUAACACGUGGAUAACCUACCUAUAAGACUGGGAUAACUUCGGGAAACCGGAGCUAAUACCGGAUAAUAUAUUGAACCGCAUGGUUCAAUAGUGAAAGACGGUUUUGCUGUCACUUAUAGAUGGAUCCGCGCCGCAUUAGCUAGUUGGUAAGGUAACGGCUUACCAAGGCAACGAUGCGUAGCCGACCUGAGAGGGUGAUCGGCCACACUGGAGCUGAGACACGGUCCAGACUCCUACGGGAGGCAGCAGUAGGGAAUCUUCCGCAAUGGGCGAAAGCCUGACGGAGCAACGCCGCGUGAGUGAUGAAGGUCUUCGGAUCGUAAAACUCUGUUAUUAGGGAAGAACAAAUGUGUAAGUAACUAUGCACGUCUUGACGGUACCUAAUCAGAAAGCCACGGCUAACUACGUG